RNAcentral lists this ribosomal RNA (465 nucleotides) under Vreelandella stevensii. RNAcentral describes it as "partial 16S ribosomal RNA". It matches the Rfam family "Bacterial small subunit ribosomal RNA", at positions 338 to 795 of the family's 1533-position model. Lineage: Bacteria; Pseudomonadati; Pseudomonadota; Gammaproteobacteria; Oceanospirillales; Halomonadaceae. The record is from RNAcentral.
CCUACGGGUGGCUGCAGUGGGGAAUAUUGGACAAUGGGCGAAAGCCUGAUCCAGCCAUGCCGCGUGUGUGAAGAAGGCCUUCGGGUUGUAAAGCACUUUCAGUGGGGAAGAAAGCCUUGGGGCUAAUACCCUCGAGGAAGGACAUCACCCACAGAAGAAGCACCGGCUAACUCCAUGCCAGCAGCCGCGGUAAUACGGAGGGUGCGAGCGUUAAUCGGAAUUACUGGGCGUAAAGCGCGCGUAGGCGGUCUGAUAAGCCGGUUGUGAAAGCCCCGGGCUCAACCUGGGAACGGCAUCCGGAACUGUCAGGCUAGAGUGCAGGAGAGGAAGGUAGAAUUCCCGGUGUAGCGGUGAAAUGCGUAGAGAUCGGGAGGAAUACCAGUGGCGAAGGCGGCCUUCUGGACUGACACUGACGCUGAGGUGCGAAAGCGUGGGUAGCAAACAGGAUUAGAUACCCUGGUAGUC